CCUACGGGAGGCAGCAGUGGGGAAUAUUGCACAAUGGGGGAAACCCUGAUGCAGCGACGCCGCGUGAGUGAAGAAGUAUUUCGUUAUGUAAAGCUCUAUCAUCAGAGAAGAAAAUGACGGUACCUGAGUAAUAAGCCCCGGCUAACUCCGUGCCAGCAGCCGCGGUAAUACGGAGGGGGCAAGCGUUAUCCGGAUUUACUGGGUGUAAAGGGAGCGUAGGCGGGAGUGCAAGUCUGGAGUGAAAGGCGGGGGCUCAACCCCAGGACUGCUCUGGAAACUGUAAGGCUGGAGUGCAGGAGAGGUAAGUGGAAUUCCUAGUGUAGCGGUGAAAUGCGUAGAUAUCAGGAGGAACACUAGUGGCGAAGGCGGCUUACUGGACUGUAACUGACGUUGAGGCUCGAAAGCGUGGGGAGCAAACAGGAUUAGAUACCCUUGUAGUC
Molecule: ribosomal RNA, 440 nt
Filed under: uncultured bacterium
Lineage: Bacteria
Description: partial 16S ribosomal RNA
Rfam family: Bacterial small subunit ribosomal RNA
Source: RNAcentral